Molecule: ribosomal RNA, 495 nt
Filed under: uncultured bacterium
Lineage: Bacteria
Description: partial 16S ribosomal RNA
Rfam family: Bacterial small subunit ribosomal RNA
Source: RNAcentral
GAUGAACGCUGGCGGCGUGCCUAAUACAUGCAAGUCGAGCGAACAGACGAGGAGCUUGCUCCUCUGACGUUAGCGGCGGACGGGUGAGUAACACGUGGAUAACCUACCUAUAAGACUGGGAUAACUUCGGGAAACCGGAGCUAAUACCGGAUAAUAUAUUGAACCGCAUGGUUCAAUAGUGAAAGACGGUUUUGCUGUCACUUAUAGAUGGAUCCGCGCCGCAUUAGCUAGUUGGUAAGGUAACGGCUUACCAAGGCAACGAUGCGUAGCCGACCUGAGAGGGGGACCGGCACAAGGGAAGCGAAGACGCGUCCAAACCUCCAGGGGGAGACGGGGGAGGGAAUUCUCCGGAAGGGGGGAAAGGCGAAAGGGGGCAAGGCGGCGGAAGUAAGAAGGUGCUCGGAUUCGAAAACCUUUGUUUUAGGAGAAGAACAAAUGUAUAGUAAACUAGACGCGUCUGAAGGUACCUAAAGAAGAAGCCCCGGCUAACCUCGU